GUCGCUGGCGAUUGGGCGGUUCGCCGCCCGNCACUCGGCGAGAANUCCAUUGAACCUUAUCAUUUAGAGGAAGGAGAAGUCGUAACAAGGUUUCCGUAGGUGAACCUGYGGAAGGAUCAUUG
Molecule: ribosomal RNA, 122 nt
Filed under: Gongora amparoana
Lineage: Eukaryota; Viridiplantae; Streptophyta; Magnoliopsida; Asparagales; Orchidaceae
Description: partial 18S ribosomal RNA
Rfam family: Eukaryotic small subunit ribosomal RNA
Source: RNAcentral